RNA transcript from Carlito syrichta (Philippine tarsier), 3964 nucleotides. RefSeq lists it as uncharacterized. The annotation marks the transcript as partial. The transcript is spliced from 2 exons. The record is from RefSeq and is a predicted model, not a curated record. Lineage: Eukaryota; Metazoa; Chordata; Mammalia; Primates; Tarsiidae.
UACAGAUGGGGUCGAGGAUUUGGUCUUUUGGGUUCCAUUUUUGGAAAGGAUGGUGUAUUAAACCAGCCAAACAGUGUCUUUGGACUUAUAUUUUAUAUACUACAGUUAUUACUUGGCAUGACAGCAAGCGCAGUCGCAGCUUUAAUCCUCAUGACGUCCUCCAUCGUGUCUGUGGUGGGGUCUUUGUACCUGGCCUACAUUCUGUACUUUGUGCUGGAGGAGUUUUGCAUCAUCUGCGUCAUCACAUAUGUGCUGAACUUCAUUCUCCUUAUCAUCAACUACAAACGACUAGUUUACUUGAAUGAGGCCUGGAAACGGCAGCUGCAGCCCAAGCAGGACUGACAACCUGACAGACGCUUAACUGACAGUCUCAAGUCCCUUUUUCCAUUAAGUUUCUUUUGCAGCAGUUUUUUUUUUAUUCUUCACAACAGAUAUUUUCCCUAAGAAUCUUAAACUGAUUUUUAAAACUCCUGUAAAUCAGAAGGGGCCCUAGAUAUUUUUUGUGUCAAUCUUCAUUUUAAAUAUGGAUACAAAAAAAGGAUUCACCGAGCCAAUCAAAGACAAGCUUUAACUUUACUUUGAAGAUGUUUCUGAAAUAAUAAAUAUCGCCCUAGCCCUCUUCCCUCAAUUGUAAAGUGAGCAGCCAUUGCUAGUAAUUCUUUAAUGUGUAUAAAUUCAAUUUCAGGUAUAACAAAUGUGAUCAUGACAUGAAAAUAUUUUAGAAUAGAUACUGUAUUAAAUAUUGCCAUGUUUACAAUAUGUAAUAUGUUUUUAGCUGAUGGAUUUAAACAUGUAGAUUCAACUAGAAUCCAUUUAUGUGAUAUUUGUAAAUAAAGGUAGAAAUAUUGGAUCCAUCCCUGCAGAACUUACUGUACAGUUUAGUUGAAGUGUAGCAAUGAGGAAUUGUCAGCUCAACGCUGACUGAUGAAAUAGUGAAAAAAGUAAGCCCUUACAGAGCAUCUUGUGAAAGGUACUGACAGCUGUGGGUGCAGCAUUGACAGCAAAAAUAAUAGGGUGGUUGGUUCCCUUUCAUCUCCCUCUUCAGAAAGGAAGAAACUGAUUUGGAAUGUUCAAAUCAAGUUUGUGUCUAGUCAUAAAACUGGAUCAAUUAUAACCUUACAGAGUGAGUCACAUGACCAGACCUUCAAGUCCAAGACCUUCAGGACACUAAUGAUGGGAAAAUGGGUAUUUUUCUUCGGAGAAAAGUUAGAAAUACUAAUGUCACCUUUAGGGUAAAGUCUCUUACACCAAUUGAAUUUUCAUGCAGAUAUUUUCCCCGAAUGUUGGUGCCAGUCAAACAGUAUUAUGACCUUGAAAUAGCCAGUAUAAACCCAAUUCCUACGAAGUAGGAUUGCUCUUUGGUAGCUCCAGUGUUUUCCCUAAUUGUUUCUUUCUGCAUGAUCUAAGCAGAUGUCUAGUUUAAUUGUUUUAGAGUCAGAUAUUGGAUUUGUAAACUUGAGGGCUGACAGGCUGCUCAGUAUGCUUAAUUGGGAGAAGUACUACAGGUAGAAAUACCUAAAGGUGAAAGAUGGUCAUGUAGUCACUGCUCUUUAUAAUAAUUACACGAGUGCAGUAAGAAAACUUUUUAAAGGGGAUCUGAAUAAACCCGAAUGAAAUUGUGACAGUAUGUUUCUAUGGUUAACAUCUUAUAUCAGAAUGUUAAAAGUGCCUUCUGUCUUAAAUCUCAAACCAAAUAUUUUGUGUGUUGACCUGGGCAGAAGUGUCCUCCCUCCCUUUCUUACCAAGAUGUAGAAAACUUGCAUUCUACAAAAGAGGUUCUGUAUGAUCAUUUUAUUCCUUUGAGAAAUAGCAAUGUUUUUGCUUCCAAUUUGAUUCAUCAUUACGUUAAGAAAUAGUCAUUUAGACCAGUAACUUCUGAGUGCUGUAUUUGCCUUCUUUUUGAAGGGAGGAGAUAGGCUCUGUUCUGCCAACUAAAAUGUGUAGAGUCGGCAACUGUUCAGUAGUUUGCAACGAACUGUCAUGAUUGGUGCAAUGUCGGUCUUCUGGCCCAAGGCAGGUAUAAAGUCUGAAUUGUAAUGAACUUUUAACCAUUUUAACCAGCUUCUUAAAAGCUAGCUUAAUUCCGAUUUCAUCACGGCUGUCUUCCCAUGAAUGUGAAUAUUUCGAUGCCUGUUUUAUUAUGUAUGCAUUGUUCUUGUAUUCUGAAGUAGUUAAAGAACUCUAGAAAACGUUGAUUGGAUGUCUGAUGUGAUGGAGAAACAAGUCCUCACUCUUGAGAGCUGCACAGUGAGGUUUGUGUAGCAGUGCAUCCAGUCCUACCAAGGCAGUUCACUGGUUCUGUUUUCUAAGCUAGAGUGGAAAUGGCUUGAUGGUUAAGACAUCUGUGGUAUAUAUGACCGUUUGUGCUAAACAAGUUCCUCGUGUUCCAAUAUCCAAUGGUUUCUCAUAUUUUGUAUCAAUCGGCAGAGUAUAGUUAAAGCUUGUCUUGAUGUUGCAUUCUUGCAAAUGUCUUCAACUCUUGCGUGAGUUGUUAAAAUGUUCAGCCAGACCCUUUAAGUUUUUCCUUUGCUUUCCUAAGCCUGGGGAAACCAUUGUUUCUGUUGUAUAAAAAUUUUUGCCACAUUCCUGUGACCCAGUAGAAUUAAUACUCUUUUUCUCACUGAGAGAUGAACAUGUGCUGCCUGAAAUAACAGCAUCACAAUGCCAGUAUUUCAGUAAGCAACAAAACACCUGUUUUUUUUUCUUUUUUGCCUGAAAGAAUUUGGGCUCCCCUCUAUACCUUCUGUUCUACCUAGAAGUGGGGAUAGGGGGACACUGUGUUAUAAAAUUGUCAUGACUGUUUUAGACUGAAUAUUUAAACAGUGCAGGAUUACUAGCCACCAAUGUUAAAGGACAGACUAGGGACAAAAUUUGUUUUUACUAGUAAUUCCAUGCUUUAUGUUUUUGAAGGCUUCAUAAAAAAGGAAGCCUCUUAUUUGAUAGUCAUAAAUUCCAUUUGAAGAAAUAAGAGAAGUUGUGAUUAGAUGAUAAAUUCUAGGGAAUCCAGGUAGUUUGGAGGAUUUCAUCUGGUUUUCCAUUACAGCUAGUUGCUGUCAGUAAGGGUAAACUUCUGGUGGAAUAACUCAGGACUUACUGUGUGCCAGGAAUUACUUUUACUUGAUAUAUGUAUCCUCUCCUUAAAUUCAUUAUUUUUAAAGAAUGUUGAAAGCAUUGAGUAUUUUCAUACAAAGAGACAAUUCUGACAUUUGGUAUCUAAGGGAUCUUUGGAUCUACUAAACUAGAGGACCAAGACCACAAUGAAAUUAAAACUACUGUAUGUUGGCUUUGGUCUGCUUAUUUUUCAUCUAUUUUUAAGAACACUGUCUGCAAAAAUACAAAGUUGUCUUCAGCAAUUACUUCAUAACUUAGGUUGGUACCAAUCUAAGUUAUGGUCUUGUCUUGAGAAUCAGUAUUAGACAAAUGCCAACAAAGAAAUCCACUAUCAUUUUUAAUAACCUAUUUAGGGGAAUAUACCCAAUAUGCAAUCCUUGUCUUCAUGUUUUUUCCUCUAGCAUACAAGCAUUGGCAAAACACUUCCGACAUUUUAGGCAGCACUCAUGAUUCCAAAUUUGUGAGAACCACCCUUCAAUCAAACAACAGGGGCGGGAGUGGUAGUCCAGGCUACUUGGUUAAACAUUUUUUUCUCCAAAUUAACCCAGAAAAGGUGAAAUGUUUUGUUAUAAAACUGUAUUAAGCAUGGCCUAAGUAUUAGGUGUAUGAUGUGUAUAGUAUGUUCCAACAAAAAUAUUUAUUACUAGUGCUUUAAGCUCCAGAGUAAACAUUCAUUUAAAAUGAAGUUCACUGGGCAGAUUUCCCCUUUAAUAUAGAUAGAAAUAUUCUUUAUCAGAGAUUUAGGGCACCAUUUUGCUAAUUGGUAAAUAAAACAAUUGUAAAUAUGUAAGAAUGUUUAUUUGUUGCACAUAACUUUUUUGGUAUAAAAUAAAUGUAGAAGUUACCUGUGGAA